This 831-nucleotide ribosomal RNA is filed under the name uncultured Alphaproteobacteria bacterium. Its description in RNAcentral is "bacterial SSU rRNA". It matches the Rfam family "Bacterial small subunit ribosomal RNA", at positions 54 to 933 of the family's 1533-position model. Lineage: Bacteria; Pseudomonadati; Pseudomonadota; Alphaproteobacteria. The record is from RNAcentral.
CAUGCAAGUCGAACGAAGUAGCAAUACUUAGUGGCAGACGGGUGAGUAACAUGUGGGUAUCUACCCUUUGGCCUGGAAUAACACGAGGAAACUUGUGCUAAUACCGGAUAAGUCUUUACGGAGAAAGCUUUAUGCACCAUUGGAUGAGCCCGCACUUGAUUAGUUUGUUGGUAGGGUAAUGGCCUACCAAGACUAUGAUCAAUAGCUGAUUUGAGAGGAUGAUCAGCCACAUUGGGACUGAGACACGGCCCAAACUCCUACGGGAGGCAGCAGUGGGGAAUCUUGCACAAUGGAGGAAACUCUGAUGCAGCGAUGCCGCGUGAGUGAAGAAGGCCCUUGGGUUGUAAAGCUCUUUCGUCGGGGAAGAAAAUGACUGUACCCGAAUAAGAAGGUCCGGCUAACUUCGUGCCAGCAGCCGCGGUAAUACGAAGGGACCUAGCGUAGUUCGGAAUUACUGGGCUUAAAGAGUUCGUAGGUGGUUGAAAAAGUUGGUGGUGAAAUCCCAGAGCUUAACUCUGGAACUGCCAUCAAAACUUUUCAGCUAGAGUAUGAUAGAGGAAAGCAGAAUUUCUAGUGUAGAGGUGAAAUUCGUAGAUAUUAGAAAGAAUACCAAUUGCGAAGGCAGCUUUCUGGAUCAUUACUGACACUGAGGAACGAAAGCAUGGGUAGCGAAGAGGAUUAGAUACUCUCGUAGUCCAUGCCGUAAACGAUGUGUGUUAGACGUUGGAAAUUUAUUUUCAGUGUCGCAGCGAAAGCGAUAAACACACCGCCUGGGGAGUACGACCGCAAGGUUAAAACUCAAAUGAAUUGACGGGGACCCGCACAAGUAGU